This 253-nucleotide ribosomal RNA is filed under the name uncultured bacterium. RNAcentral describes it as "partial 16S ribosomal RNA". It matches the Rfam family "Bacterial small subunit ribosomal RNA", at positions 524 to 776 of the family's 1533-position model. The record is from RNAcentral.
UACGUAGGGUGCAAGCGUUAAUCGGAAUUACUGGGCGUAAAGCGCACGUAGGCGGAUAUUUAAGUCAGGGGUGAAAUCCCAGAGCUCAACUCUGGAACUGCCUUUGAUACUGGGUAUCUUGAGUAUGGAAGAGGUGAGUGGAAUUCCGAGUGUAGAGGUGAAAUUCGUAGAUAUUCGGAGGAACACCAGUGGCGAAGGCGGCUCACUGGUCCAUUACUGACGCUGAGGUGCGAAAGCGUGGGGAGCAAACAGG